CGAGCGGACCCCGUGCAGAACCAGCAAAAUGCAGGCUCCCCUGGCGCUCCUCGGCUCCCCGGCGCUGUUCCGCUGCUGCUCCCGGGCCCUGGCCAGGCCCGUGUCCGUGGCUGUGUUCAGCAGGCCUGAGGCUCAGACUGCACAGGUGAGCCUGGGGAUGGGCUUUG
Sturnus vulgaris (Common starling) is the source of this 167-nucleotide non-coding RNA. Lineage: Eukaryota; Metazoa; Chordata; Aves; Passeriformes; Sturnidae. The record is from RefSeq and is a predicted model, not a curated record.